Molecule: long non-coding RNA, 592 nt
Organism: Antechinus flavipes (yellow-footed antechinus)
Lineage: Eukaryota; Metazoa; Chordata; Mammalia; Dasyuromorphia; Dasyuridae
Exons: 4
Source: RefSeq, a predicted model, not a curated record
UUCAGGUUUUCAUUUCUGUGGGCACUUCCUCUCAUUUCUCCAGAACAUGACGCCAUGAGAAGGACAAGUUUGAAUGCCAAAGUAUCAUCCACAGCAUGACUUCCAUAGCCCUUGUCGCUCUGGUUUUGGCUCACCAGUUGGGUUCUCCACAUCGCAAGUCAUUGGCAUCUUUGCAGUUAUCUUGAAGUUGAACAGGCUACUAGAGAUUUUCAAGCAGAGCCUGAUUGACCACUCAUCAAUGGAAAAAUCAAACCAAUAGGAACAAAAAACAAACUACAAGGAACAAACAAACAAAAAGGUAAAAAAAAAAAACUAUGCUUCAAUUCACACUCAGUUCCCAUAGUCCUCUCUCUGGAUGUAGAUAGUACUUUCCAUCCCAAAUCUAUUGGAACUGGCCCGAGUCACCUCAUUGCUGAAAAGAGCCACGUCCAUUAUGGUUGAUAAAGUUGCUGUUACACGGUGUACAAUGUCCUCUUGGUUCUGCUCACUUCACUCAGCUUCAGUUCGUGUAAGUCUUUCCAUGCUUUUAGAAAAAAUAUUUUCAAAAAUACUUGUGAACGUCUCCAGCUGGUAAUGGUACUUUUUGAUGUAA